This 253-nucleotide ribosomal RNA is filed under the name Intestinimonas butyriciproducens. RNAcentral describes it as "partial 16S ribosomal RNA". It matches the Rfam family "Bacterial small subunit ribosomal RNA", at positions 524 to 776 of the family's 1533-position model. Lineage: Bacteria; Bacillati; Bacillota; Clostridia; Eubacteriales. The record is from RNAcentral.
UACGUAGGUGGCGAGCGUUAUCCGGAUUUACUGGGUGUAAAGGGCGAGUAGGCGGGCAUGCAAGUCAGAUGUGAAAUUUAUGGGCUCAACCCAUAACCUGCAUUUGAAACUGUGUGUCUUGAGUGAUGGAGAGGCAGGCGGAAUUCCGUGUGUAGCGGUGAAAUGCGUAGAUAUACGGAGGAACACCAGUGGCGAAGGCGGCCUGCUGGACAUUAACUGACGCUGAGGCGCGAAAGCGUGGGGAGCAAACAGG